UAGGGAAGUCUUCCACAAUGGGCGGAAAGACCUGAUGGAGCAACGCCGCGUGUGUGAUGAAGGGUUUCGGCUCGUAAACACUGUUGUAAGAGAAGAAUGACAUUGAGAGUAACUGUUCAAUGUGUGACGGUAUCUUACCAGAAAGGAACGGCUAAAUACGUGCCAG
RNAcentral lists this ribosomal RNA (166 nucleotides) under uncultured bacterium. RNAcentral's name for it is "partial 16S ribosomal RNA". It matches the Rfam family "Bacterial small subunit ribosomal RNA", at positions 355 to 511 of the family's 1533-position model. The record is from RNAcentral.